This 276-nucleotide unclassified non-coding RNA is filed under the name Hevea brasiliensis (rubber tree). Lineage: Eukaryota; Viridiplantae; Streptophyta; Magnoliopsida; Malpighiales; Euphorbiaceae. The record is from RNAcentral.
AAAAAGAGCCUCACAACAAUCAGAAAAGUCAAUCACUGGAGUCAUAGCAACCACAAAUUAGGCAUCACAACCUUAACCAAACUCUGCUGCUAAAACAUAAAACCAAAGAUACGAAGAACAGAGACACAGAUGAAAGAUAAAUAAGCAAAGCAGAAAGCACAAAAAUUCAGACUAAGACCAACGAAGAAAACUAGGAGGCAAUCGGUGGGACUCUGAAAUCUACUAACAGAUUAUUUGGAUGGGGAGGUUUCGGGGUAAAGUAAAGUAAGGUUUUAG